RNAcentral lists this telomerase RNA (484 nucleotides) under Monodelphis domestica (gray short-tailed opossum). RNAcentral describes it as "Vertebrate telomerase RNA". It matches the Rfam family "Vertebrate telomerase RNA". Rfam says of the family: Telomerase is a ribonucleoprotein reverse transcriptase that synthesises telomeric DNA. Lineage: Eukaryota; Metazoa; Chordata; Mammalia; Didelphimorphia; Didelphidae. The record is from Rfam by way of RNAcentral.
UAAGUGGGGUUGGCUGGCUUGCGUUUCGUUUCUAUCAUGGUAAGGGUCGCGGCUGCCCCAGCUCGCUGUUUUGGUGGCUGACUUUCAGCGGGCAGAGGAGGCAGAAGCUGAGCCGUAGUAGGGACGCGCAAAAAACAUCAGCCUGGCCAGAAGCCCCAAUGCGUGGCCCGUUCGCCCCGUCCGGACCCAGCCCCGGCCCGAACCCCCUGGGAGUGCCCCCCGCAGGCCUCGCGCUCGCCUUCGGAGCCCUGGCUGCCCACCAGCAGAGGCGGCGGCUGUCUCGGGUCCCUGAGUGCCGGGGCUCCCACUGUGGCCGCCAAGAGUUCGGCUCUGUCAGCCUCGGGCUGCGCGGGGGACCGCAGGGCGAGCCCCAAGACCGGGCGGGGGGCCGGGGCUACAGGGAGAGUAAUCCAGAGGUGCACUCAGACGGCUGGGCUCUCCCUCAAACCAUGGGAGCUACCCCCAGGGUGCCCCUCACACACAA